Micropterus salmoides (largemouth bass) is the source of this 1329-nucleotide RNA transcript. RefSeq lists it as uncharacterized. The transcript is spliced from 2 exons. NCBI's taxonomy places the organism in Eukaryota, Metazoa, Chordata, Actinopteri, Centrarchiformes, Centrarchidae. The record is from RefSeq and is a predicted model, not a curated record.
AGGUUUAAAUAACCUUUGUUUUCCAGCUCCUGGUUAUUCCUUGCACUAACCCUGUCUUUCUGUCUGCUUUCCUCCCAGGUUCACUCAACAUGGACCCAGCACCCUCACCCCUCUCCUCCGACUCCUCUGAAUUUGAGUCCUGGCUCUGGGACUUCUUCAAGCUGAAAGAGCUGUGGAAGGGAGCCAUAAAUGAUGGCCUGAAGGAAGCUUUCCGCACCAGGGCUCAACAGCUGCUGUGGGCUGAGCCUCGCUUAAGGGAUUUCGUCCCACCCUGGGAUGCAAGCUUCCUCCACACCCUUGCCCCUCCCCCCCACCAAGGAGCCCCCGAGCGAGUCCCUGCCAGUGUCUGCGUCUGGGCCGUUACCUCGGCCUGUGCUCAGCGAUUGUUGGACCGAACCGGAGAUGGGCCCGGCGGCCAUUGGCCCUUCCCCAGAGGAUCUGUGCCAGGUGAGGACCUUCACGGACAGUCUCCUCAGGACUUAAGGGCAGAGGAUUGGCACGAGAGGCUGAAUACACUAGCCUGCUUCGAGAAGGCUCUGGAUCAACAACUGCGCCUACUGUGUGCUCCAGGUAUGGCUGAGCUGCUUUGGGAUGUGGGUCGUCUCAAGGAAUCCCUGUUAUUGGCUCUGAAUUCCCCCAGUGCUCCUCAUGCUGGUCCCCCGGCCUGUCCGGCUAUCCCUCCUGGUCCCCUGGCCUGUCCGGCUAUCCCUCCGUCUGGUCCAGAUCCCAACCUGCUGGCGCAGCUAGCCACCAGCCUGUCCCUUGUGAUCCCCGGCCUGCAAGCGCCACUAACCCUCAGCUGAACCCCGCUCCUCAUACCCUGUUGGCGGAUCGACCGGCUUCAGCCCCGCCGGCAGUCCGGCCUACCCCUGCUCCUCGUGCUCUCUUGGCACGAACUCUCUGGUUCCCCCAGUCAGCCCUCGGGCUGUCCACUUGAUCUCCCUGGUCCCCCAGCUCUGCCCUCUGGCCCUAUGUCCUCAGUUCAGCCCUGCCUGUUUGCCUGACCCUUCCCAGUCCUGAAACCCUCUCUGAAUUCCCUGUUUUGGACCCUGGACCCCCACCAGCCAGACCCCCAGUGUGACUUUCCCCCCCCCCCCCCGACGUUUGUCUGCCAAGCCCUGCCUAGUCCAGUGGGAAAGCCGCCAGGAGGCAUCUGUUGAGGGGGCCCUGUUGUGGUGGCAGCCUGGCUGACGGCGAGUGUCCUGGUUCACUCACCCUCGUCCUUUGUCCAGUCGGCUGGGCUCUUCCUCCGGUCCCCUCCUCCUCGGACUUCCCUCACGGCGUCCUCCCAGUCCUUCCUUGCCUCGCCGCUUCCUCGGCCCCAGUGUU